CAUAAAACAGAAUGCUGUUGGAGGGAUUGUGUCUAAUGAAAAAAAGGAAGGGAUGGUCUGCAAUAAAGGUUUUUGGGUCUCCUGGAAAUGAGGAUCCAAGACCAGUGACGACGCCGGUACCUGCGGUCCCUUUAGUUCCUUCCUCAUUUACUUCAACGAAGGAUUUAUGAAUCACCUUUGUCACCACCAGGUCCUUGUUGGGUGACAUGCCUGAAAGAUUCACCU
This is a long non-coding RNA of Carassius gibelio (silver crucian carp), 225 nucleotides long. RefSeq lists it as uncharacterized. The transcript is spliced from 2 exons. Lineage: Eukaryota; Metazoa; Chordata; Actinopteri; Cypriniformes; Cyprinidae. The record is from RefSeq and is a predicted model, not a curated record.